AUUGAACGCUGGCGGCAGGCCUAACACAUGCAAGUCGAGCGGCAGCGGAAAGUAGCUUGCUACUUUGCCGGCGAGCGGCGGACGGGUGAGUAAUGUCUGGGGAUCUGCCUGAUGGAGGGGGAUAACUACUGGAAACGGUAGCUAAUACCGCAUAACGUUGCAAGACCAAAGUGGGGGACCUUCGGGCCUCACGCCAUCGGAUGAACCCAGAAGGGAUUAGCUAGUAGGUGGGGUAAUGGCUCACCUAGGCGACGAUCCCUAGCUGGUCUGAGAGGAUGACCAGCCACACUGGGACUGAGACACGGCCCAGACUCCUACGGGAGGCAGCAGUGGGGAAUAUUGCACAAGGGGCGCAAGCCUGAUGCAGCCAUGCCGCGUGUGUGAAGAAGGCCUUCGGGUUGUAAAGCACUUUCAGCGAGGAGGAAGGGUGGUGUGUUAAUAGCACACGACAUUGACGUUACUCGCAGAAGAAGCACCGGCUAACUACGUGCCAGCAGCCGCCGUAA
Molecule: ribosomal RNA, 506 nt
Filed under: uncultured bacterium
Lineage: Bacteria
Description: partial 16S ribosomal RNA
Rfam family: Bacterial small subunit ribosomal RNA
Source: RNAcentral